Molecule: ribosomal RNA, 245 nt
Filed under: uncultured bacterium
Lineage: Bacteria
Description: partial 16S ribosomal RNA
Rfam family: Bacterial small subunit ribosomal RNA
Source: RNAcentral
CGUAGGUAACCUGCCCCGGAGCGGGGGAUUACAUUUGGAAACAGAUGCUAAUACCGCAUAACAAUAAAAGCCGCAUGGCUUUUAUUUGAAAGAUGGCUUUGGCUAUCACUCUGGGAUGGACCUGCGGUGCAUUAGCUAGUUGGUAAGGUAACGGCUUACCAAGGCGAUGAUGCAUAGCCGAGUUGAGAGACUGAUCGGCCACAAUGGAACUGAGACACGGUCCAUACUCCUACGGGAGGCAGCAG